UGGCAGAGUGGUCGAAUGCGGCGGUCUUGAAAACCGUUGUACCGCAAGGUACCGGGGGUUCGAAUCCCUCCCUCUCCGCCA
RNAcentral lists this transfer RNA (81 nucleotides) under Gammaproteobacteria bacterium. Its description in RNAcentral is "tRNA-Ser". It matches the Rfam family "tRNA". From Rfam's summary of the family: Transfer RNA (tRNA) molecules are approximately 80 nucleotides in length. Their secondary structure includes four short double-helical elements and three loops (D, anti-codon, and T loops). Further hydrogen bonds mediate the characteristic L-shaped molecular structure. tRNAs have two regions of fundamental functional importance: the anti-codon, which is responsible for specific mRNA codon recognition, and the 3' end, to which the tRNAs corresponding amino acid is attached (by aminoacyl-tRNA synthetases). tRNAs cope with the degeneracy of the genetic code in two manners: having more than one tRNA (with a specific anti-codon) for a particular amino acid; and 'wobble' base-pairing, i.e. permitting non-standard base-pairing at the 3rd anti-codon position. Lineage: Bacteria; Pseudomonadati; Pseudomonadota; Gammaproteobacteria. The record is from RNAcentral.